AUGGAGGAGAGCACCGAGGCCGCGGCGACGGCGAGCGGCGUGGCGCCUGUAGCCGGAGGCGCGGAGGCCGCCCGGGCGGCGGGCGCGACGAUGAAGGUGGUGGUGGCGGUGGACGCGAGCGAGGAGAGCCUGCAGGCGCUGUCGUGGGCGCUCGACCACGUCGUCCGGCUCCACCCCGGCGCGUCCGUCGUCGUCGUCCACGCCCAGCACCGCGUCGACCACUUCGCCUACCCCGUCGCCGCCCACGGUACGGUGCACAAUCUCGCGCGCGCGCACCAACCGCGUGAACUCCUCCCUGACACACCUUUUUGUGCGUGGCGCGAUCGUGCCGUAGCAGGCCUGGCCUACGCCCCGCCCACGGCGUUGGACUCCAUGAGGAGGGCGCAGGAGGAGAACUCCCGGAAGGCGGUGGCCCGCGCGCUGGACGUCUGCAGGCAGAAGCAGGCGAGCGCCACGGCGGCGGUGGUGGAGGGCGACCCCAAGGAGGCCAUCUGCCAGGCCGUGGAGGACAUGCGCGCCGACCUGCUCGUCCUCGGCAGCCGCGGCCUCGGCAUGGUCAAGAGGGCGUUGCUAGGCAGCGUGAGCGACUACCUCGCCCAUCACGCGUGUUGCCCCGUUCUCAUCGUCAAGCCACCCAACAAGGCGCACCACAAGUGA
This 657-nucleotide ribosomal RNA is filed under the name Triticum aestivum (bread wheat). RNAcentral describes it as "partial small subunit ribosomal RNA". The record is from RNAcentral. Lineage: Eukaryota; Viridiplantae; Streptophyta; Magnoliopsida; Poales; Poaceae.